RNAcentral lists this ribosomal RNA (460 nucleotides) under uncultured bacterium. Its description in RNAcentral is "partial 16S ribosomal RNA". It matches the Rfam family "Bacterial small subunit ribosomal RNA", at positions 338 to 795 of the family's 1533-position model. The record is from RNAcentral.
CCUACGGGAGGCAGCAGUGAGGAAUAUUGGUCAAUGGACGCAAGUCUGAACCAGCCAUGCCGCGUGCAGGAAGACGGCUCUAUGAGUUGUAAACUGCUUUUGUACGAGGGUAAACGCAGAUACGCGUAUCUGUCUGAAAGUAUCGUACGAAUAAGGAUCGGCUAACUCCGUGCCAGCAGCCGCGGUAAUACGGAGGAUUCAAGCGUUAUCCGGAUUUAUUGGGUUUAAAGGGUGCGUAGGCGGUCGGAUAAGUUAGAGGUGAAAUCCCGAGGCUCAACUUCGGAAUUGCCUCUGGUACUGGUCGGCUAGAGAGUAGUUACGGUAGGCGGAAUGUAUGGUGUAGCGGUGAAAUGCUUAGAGAUCAUACAGAACACCGAUUGCGAAGGCAGCUUACCAAGCUACUUCUGACGUUGAGGCACGAAGGCGUGGGGAGCGAACAGGAUUAGAUACCCGUGUAGUC